GACAGAGGGUGCAAACGUUGUUCGGAAUUACUGGGCGUAAAGCGCGCGUAGGCGGAUCGCUAAGUCAGGGGUGAAAUCCCAGGGCUCAACCCUGGAACUGCCUUUGAUACUGACGAUCUGGAGAUCGGGAGAGGUUGGUGGAAUUCCGAGUGUAGAGGUGAAAUUCGUAGAUAUUCGGAGGAACACCAGAAGCGAAGGCGGCCAACUGGCCCGAUACUGACGCUGAGGCGCGAAAGCGUGGGGAGCAAACAGG
This 253-nucleotide ribosomal RNA is filed under the name uncultured bacterium. Its description in RNAcentral is "partial 16S ribosomal RNA". It matches the Rfam family "Bacterial small subunit ribosomal RNA", at positions 524 to 776 of the family's 1533-position model. The record is from RNAcentral.